CUCUGCUCUGCCCCAGGCUGUGCUGCUGGCAUGUUGCAGGACACGGAGCUGUGCUGGAGAGCCUGAGCUGCCCCAGUGAGCGUACCAAAGGCUGCUGAAGGAAGGAAGUGGAAUUCUGGGCAGUUUGGAGAUGUUGAGGAGAACCUUGCAAUGCUCAGCAAUUCCUGAGCAGCCUGCUGUAAAACUUGUAGCCAGUUCAACUUUCAGCAGGAGUCAGAAGAGGUUUGUGGAGUUUGGCAAUAGUUUUGUUCCUGAGGAAGGCUGGAGAAAGAAAACUCAAAAUCACCGCUAUGAACAGCUCUUUAAAAAUGAAUGGCUAACUGAAGGAAGUCUUGCGCACUUGCAGUGCCGUGACGUUCUGCCAUCCGAAGGGGAAUUAAUCGCUGAGCAGCAUGAAGAUUGCACAGCACAGACAACAGGCAUGGUCCAGGCCUCAAGGGACUAAUUAUGUUCUUAAAGGGCUGCCCAUCCUGCUUCCCAGCAAGACCUCAGCUGUGAGUGUACCAGGAAAGCAAAUAAGAAAGGUCUUCACAAAAAAGCUCUAAGAAUGUAAAACUGGUACCUGGAGAUACAGGGGGGAUUCUGCCUGUUCACAACAUAUCUGACAGCGUAAACUGCCCAAAGAAGGCUUUUUUGAUUCACAGAACAGCUACAUCUGAGGAACUGCUGUCAGAGUCACAGGAGUCAACUCCCUUUGCAUAAAUGUGUGCCAACAAAGAAGGAAAAGAAAAAAACAACCCGACAAAUUAGUUGGAUGGUGCAAGAAACCAGUUAGAAAGCAGCUCCUGGAGGCAGAGUGGUGCAAGGUGAGCAACUGAGAUGAGUAAACCCCAUCUUAAAACAACCCAACAAAUAAUCCUUAUGGCCUCAAGGCUCCAAACCCCAGUGCUCACGCUGUCCCAAAUGAAAGUGGUUACAGCUGCUGGAGGAUACGAGGCACAGCUGGUAACACCUUAAGCUAAGUUGGUCCCUUUUCUGUGGUGCGUGUAUUCAAGCUAAUGGCAAGACAUCUGUAUUCUUCCUCCUUUUCACAACAGUUUGUUUUCCAAAAUAUCCCACGCGGUCUCCCUCACAGCACCCAACUGAGAGUUUCUGGGGAACUGCUUGGAAGCUUCCAGUGAGCCUCGAUGUUGCACUAGGACUGCUAGAUUGAAUUCCUGAACUUGCUGAGUGACAGAAACUGCUCUGGAGAAGUCAACGAGAGCAAAUGAAAAUGCAGCAUCACAACACUGAAUUAAGAGUGAAGGAAAACACUGUCGAUAAAAUGCCAGAUAGACUGUAGAUGUUCAAGGUUGAUGGACCAGAGCCUCUUGCAUCCAUACCUGUGACAGAUGAAAAAGGAGCUGCAUUCAGUCAGAAGCCUCAAGCAAGAGCAGUGUCAGCUUCUCUUCUGGUCUUAGAUCCAGUGCACACUCCUGGCAGAGUUCUACAAACUUGACAAGCAGAGAAACCUGAGAAUGUUGUGGGAGACAAAGUACGCAGUUUGGAACUGUAUGCUGGAUUCCUUUUGUUUGGCCACCUCCUGUGAAACCAGACACCAACUUUGACUUCAUAUGGUGAAAAUGGCAAGAUGCUUUCAUUCCUGAAGACAUAUCUGGGCGUGUCAGGAGAGGUGACUACAGUCUGUAUCCACGUUGUGGUGCCAAAGGGGCGAAAAGCGACGACGUAUCCAAAUCCUUCUCCAUUUUGCAACUCCUCAGGGAUGGGCUGUGAGAAAAGCAAUCAGUGACAGAAGCCCAUGAUGUUACAUACCACACUGGAAAAGCUUUGAAGGAAGAAAGCAUCACUGUGAUGUAAUGCAUGCGACUGUAAACUGGUUCUGGUCUGCAUUUGGGAUUGCUGCAUCAACAAAUAAAGUCUGGUGCAGUAGAGUGUAAUGCUUUCAUUUGAAACUAUCUGCACAUCAAGAAAAGAGCAACUCCCCCAAACAUUUCUUGUUCUCCAAUGUAAUCAUCAACAAUGAAAGCUAUAGUUCAUGCUUAGCUCCGCAAGCAAUCCUGCUCAGGAAAAAAAAGGAAAUAAAGAAAUAACCCUGCAUUAUAUAAUUUGAAUUCCUGUGUGUCUCCAGGACAAAGCCCUUCAAACACUUUGGCAGCAGAUGCCCAUUUGCCAGGAAGGAUGCUGGACCAUGAAGUCACCAUUUAGCAGACACAACAACAACAUCACAGCUGUCAGUACUGAACUCCACUCAUCAGUGGCUUGAAGGACUGUCAUAAGAAAAGAUAUUAUGCCAUGAUUUAUUAUAUUCUUCAGUUUUUAUUUUUUUUUCUGUGAAGAAGCAAGUUUCAUCCAAAACCGAGCCUAACUUCAAUGCAGAAUCACGUAAUUCAAGUCAUAGAUGAACAGGUUUUGUAAUCUGCACCAUAAACUGUUUCUGCAAUCUACAGCACACAACAGUAAGAAAACACAAUUCAUGGUAACUGAAGCUGAAAUUUACCUCGUACUAUAAGGUCAGCUGCAGAUGCCACACUGUCUACUUCUGUCUUCACCAUACAAACGUAUUUUCCACUGUGUUUCAGCUGGAUGUUUCUAAUCAUCAAAUCUCCUGAUGCACUCUGUCAAAAUACAAAGUUGUUAAAUGAAUUAGCAUAUUAUUUAAUAUUCAGCUCACGUUUUGGAAGCGGAGAAAUUAUCACCUUGAAUAUAUAAAGUUUAAGAUAAACUAGAUAAAUAAACUUCAUAUUAAAGUUGUCCCAAAAUUAAAGAGGCAGUGCAGCAGGUUAUUACCCAGCAGCUGCUCCGUGCUACAUGGCUAUAAGCACUCUCCUAGCAGACAGGAGUUAGUGCCUGUACCUGCAUGAGAAGCAAGCUGCAGCACAGGUGCCCAGCACUGGGAACACACCUGCAGACAGCUGUUAAGAACCACGAAGAAAGUCAGCACCCUGUGACCAACUGCUUGCCUCCAAGCCACAAGAAAGAUGUGAUUUCUACAGCCACCACCCAAUCUGACUUCUAGACAGAAUUCAUAAGUCUAGUUAGCAAAGACAUUCAAGGAGUUAAAACAGGUAAGCAACAAAGCUGAACCUGGUCUGUUCCGAAGGGUUAAGGAUAGAAUUCAGAUAGGUACAGUAUGAGUCCCUGGGUCAGUGUGCUGCUGAGGGCCCCUCACUGAGCACCUCGUAUCCCUGGCAGUUUGUCUGGGAUUUCCUUCUGCCAAGUUCCUUUGCACUGUGAGCACACUUGGAUUUAAGCAUUAUACCUCUGCAGCUCUUUGGCCGACUGCCCUGAUUUUAAGGUCCUACUUCUUUCUUUUUCAUUAUGCAUUCAAACGUUGGUCAUUUCUUUUCCUUUGUCCUCUCUCACGUUACAGCGUGUGGUUGAUCAGAAUCAAAGAAAGCAUGCAAAAAGCUUGAGUGAGUGAUAGCUGUAACUUUGCACUCUUACAGACUCGGCAUUAUUAGUUUUCUACAUUACUGAAAUAGAGCACUCAAUCCUAAACUUCUGCGAGCCAGUUUGCUUCAAAACCUCCCCAUGUGCCAGCUGAAUGACUGCCUCAGCCCUGUUCACAUCAAAGCUUCCAGGUGAAAAAUCUGUCAGAUUUCAAUUUUUUCCCCCUCUUUCUAAUUUUCUGGAGCAGCGGUUUCAGUUGAGGACAGAACCAUACAUACUUUGCAGGUAUUCACAGUGCUCCAACCACGACUGAUUCUUGAGAACUCAGUGAUUUGGGAGAAAGGGAAGACAUGAUUGCUGUGAUCUCCGAAAAACAGAAGUUAACAAUCUUCCCAACCCUCUGCCUUUAGCAGUUAAUUAUUUUUUAUGCUCACACAAACUGUUUCCGCUUGGAUCCUUACAUUUCUAGAAUGAUUUGUUUUCAUGAAGACUGCCGUCAUCUCAGAUAAAUCUCUAACUAUAUGCAAAUCAGCUGUGCCAUUUUGUCACAAGUAUUUCUUUUUGAGCUUGAGUUUCAUUCACUCAUGUCAACACCUGCAAUUAAUGUGUAAGAUGAGCAUUACGAAGUCUCACGUAGAAGUUGAAAAAACUUUGCCUGCUUCCCUUCCAAGUGUGAUAAUAAAAAUAAAAUGCCAGGUCUUCUUUAAAAACAAGGAUGUAAACAUUUAGAGGACAAUCCAGCACUGGUUGCCUCCAGUACCCUAAAAGUUAAGAUGAAGGCAAUCUAAAAUCCAUCUAACUUGAUUGGAAGUGGAUAUUCAGGAAACGACCAGCAACAACAACAGAUGCACACAAAGCAAAUCAUGUUCUACAUGAACUAAUUGUAGCAAACUACAUUUAAAUAAACCAUCUAAGCAGAGGGACCAUCAAAUAGAAUAAUUUUACUGAAACAUAAAGCUCUGAAACAUUAACACCAAAUUUAAACUAUUUGUGGGUGCUUUGCAGGAGCAUCCUGAAGAUUUAAAGGAAAUCUGUUUUGAACUCUGAAAUCUGCUUGGUUUGCCUAUAAAUCAUUUAUCUGACAAAAAAGUACAGUACAACAGUGAUACAUCCUAUAUUUUUCUAACCAUCUGGAAGACCAGGACAUGGUGCCAUAACAUUCCCACUAACCACUACAUGUCAUGGAUCUCAAGCAUGCAUGGCAGGGACUGCCAAAAUAUCAUUACACAGAUCUCCAUCCACUAAAAAAUCAUUUCCUUUUGCUAUGUUUAUCAACAAAGCUGAAGUUAUGCACAGAUAGUUCCAUUGAACAAAUAUGCACUGGAAGGCUUCUUACUGGGAUUAAAUUAUUCCAUCAACCUUAGUGGGAUCUAGACAAGCUCACAUAAUAGUUCUCUGUUUCUCCUAGUUACCCAUGGAGUUUUUCCAUCAAGGAGGUUCAAUCCCCUUUUCCAAUCAAGUAAGACUUUAAAAAAAGUCACCUAAACCUCAGUAUUCCAUAACUACCCCUGGUUCUAUGCCAUACAACAAACUCCCAGGUAAGAUGUUCUAGAGUCAGAAGUCUGAGUUACUCGAUACUCUGAAAUUUCUUUCACAACUGGUUGGGAAGUUUCCAUGAAAUCCUAUUUUUUUUAAGCUCUUUGUUUUGUUUUGUUUUGUUUUGCUUUGUUGUUUUUGUUUUUUCUUUUUCAUGUGGGGAAAACAGAAGUAUGGCCUCCCUCUGUCACAGAAUCACAGAAUGGCCAGGGUUGGAAGGGACCUCCAGGACCUCCCCUGUCACCAGGGGAGACAUAAAGAGAGAAGUGAGGGAAACACCAGGGGUACAAGAGCAGGAAAAAAUAAGAUAGAUUUUUGUUUUGUUUUGUUUGCUUUUAGGCUGGAGCUCUCAAAGUCUGAAACAAGUUCCUCAAUCUGUCAUUGCUAUGUUUCGUUUCCAAGGAAAAUCAUGUAUGGCCAGGUGCAGAGACAGAGGUAGGCACUUAGAAAACUUCAGGUCUAAAAUUUGAGAUGUCUGCAUACCAGAUCAUGUGCUGCAGGGUAGCUCAAUGAAUGACUUCUCUGCAGCAAAGACCAGAUUCCAUACACCCAAAAGAGAAGAAAAAACCUUCACAGUGUUGGAAAGAGUAAGCGAGCCUGUCUGUAAGAGAAGCGUUCACAACUUACCCCUCCAACCUUCUCAAAAUGAGAGGCAUCUUUUUUGAAGUCGGUGAGUGUCCCAUUGAAAUACCAUGUGAAGCUGAUGUCCAGUAUAGGAUCGUGCUGAACCUGGCAAGGCAAGAUGACGCUUUCUCCAACAGUGACAUCCAUGUUUGAAGGUGCCAAAGUGAUCCUUGUUGGCUCUGAGAGCAGAAAAAUCAGUUAUUGGAUUUCUGUAGUACUACGACUUGUCUGCCACUAAUGUUCUACCAUGUUCUACAAAUCUGAUUAAUGACAGUCACUUCAAAUUAUACAGCUGGACUAUAAAUGCUACCGACUGACCUCCCUUGUUGGAGCACUGUACUGUUGCACAUUUACCAGUGGGAGUUUGUUGAAACUGAAAAAGUAGCUUUUUACCUACUGUGUACAGACCAAUAUACCUCACCAAGCUAAAUGCACUGCAACCCACAGCAAUGAAAUUACCAUUCAGAAGCAUGUGUGGUUCUCAGCAAUAACCCAUAUGAUUUGGAGCAGUGUGCUGUGGUAGCAGCCAUGGGGAAGAUUAAAAGGUGGGAGUGGAAGCAGGAGACAACAAAACCUGGAAACCAGAGGAAAUCUAUAUAGGGUAGGACAUGUUGGGUAUCUGGGUCUGUAUAUCAUAUAAAACAUAAAUAGUGCCAUUAAGAAAAGCAGCUUACAAUUCCUGAAUCACAUGAACAGAACAAAUAUCAUAUACCAUAAAUACUGGAAAAAUUAAAUUUCCUUCUAUAAAUCCUCUGUACAUAAUUCUGUUAUUUGUGCAUAAAAGGGCAUGAAUCAUUUAGAAACAGACUGAAAAUCUGUAGCUGUUUCUUCACUGAACAGAAUAAUUCUGUUUGGAUCUAUGAGAUGUAUGGGAUAUGCAAUGCAGUAGGAUAUUAGAUAAUUCUGCAUUUGGAAAAUCUUUUAGUUAUUCCCAUCUUUAAAAAAGAACAUCAUGAGAAAAGACAGUCUUCAGUUAGACUUCACAAAGCACUCCUCCCCAGUCAGCAUCUUAGACAGCAGCUAGCAAUGGGCAUCUCAGUGGAAGGGGCAAGAACUCUUUUAACAGCAAUUAUGUACACGAUUAGCUUUUGAAAGACUUUAUACUUUACUGCCUGUAGGGUCCCUGAGCACUCCUGCAGCUGGAGCUUCUUCCACAUCUUUUUCCAUGAGCAAAUAAGUGUAUAGUUCCUUAGGGCUAAAGAGAUUUUUGGACUGGAAUGUAUAAUGACCUCUAAUAUUUUUGGUUGGCAUGAAUUUC
Molecule: long non-coding RNA, 6748 nt
Organism: Lagopus leucura (white-tailed ptarmigan)
Lineage: Eukaryota; Metazoa; Chordata; Aves; Galliformes; Phasianidae
Exons: 12
Source: RefSeq, a predicted model, not a curated record